CCAAUAGCGUAUAUUAAAGUUGUUGCAGUUAAAAAGCUCGUAGUUGAAUUUCGGGAUCAAUUCGUCGGUCGUGCUUUUUGGUACGUACUGGCGUUAUUGGUUUCUCCUUUCUGACAAGCCAUGAUGUCAUUAAUUUGGUGUUAUGGGGAGUUAGGACUGUUACUUUGAAAAAAUUAGAGUGUUUAAAGCAGGCAUUAGCUUGAAUACAUUAGCAUGGAAUAAUGAAAUAGGACGUUCGAUCCUAUUUUGUUGGUUUCUAGGAUCAACGUAAUGAUUAAUAGGGAUAGUUGGGGGCAUUAGUAUUCAAUUGUCAGAGGUGAAAUUCUUGGAUUUAUUGAAGACUAACUACUGCGAAAGCAUUUGCCAAGGAUGUUUUCAUUAAUCAAGAACGAAAGUUAGGGGAUCGAAGACGAUCAGAUACCGUCGUAGUCUUAACCAUAAACUAUGCCGACUAGGGAUCGGAUGAUGUUAAUUUUUUAAUGACUCAUUCGGCGCCUUACG
Molecule: ribosomal RNA, 501 nt
Filed under: uncultured Glomeromycotina
Lineage: Eukaryota; Fungi; Glomeromycota
Description: partial small subunit ribosomal RNA
Rfam family: Eukaryotic small subunit ribosomal RNA
Source: RNAcentral